RNAcentral lists this ribosomal RNA (254 nucleotides) under uncultured bacterium. RNAcentral describes it as "partial 16S ribosomal RNA". It matches the Rfam family "Bacterial small subunit ribosomal RNA", at positions 524 to 776 of the family's 1533-position model. The record is from RNAcentral.
UACGUAGGGUGCAAGCGUUGUCCGGAAUUAUUGGGCGUAAAGAGCUCGUAGGCGGUUUGUCGCGUCGGCUGUGAAAACUCGGGGCUCAACCCCGAGCCUGCAGUCGAUACGGGCAGACUAGAGUGCGGUAGGGGGAGACUGGAAUUCCUGGUGUAGCGGUGAAAUGCGCAGAUAUCAGGAGGAACACCGGUGGCGAAGGCGGGUCUCUGGGCCGUAACUGACGCUGAGGAGCGAAAGCGUGGGGAGCAAACAGG